UUGUUUCGUGGUUGCAGGCUCCACCUGUUAUUGUUUUCUCAUCGGCAUGUGCAGGAUUGGCAGGGGGUGCUGUUCCAGCACUUGCACAACUUGCAUCAUCUUCAUACCAUGCCGCCAUCUCAUCUUCCACAUUACAGCCUCCAUCCUCGCAGGACAAGAAGAUUAACAAGUCCCGACCAUCCUCCACUCUAAAACAUUGACAGUGAGUGAUAGAUAAGAAGCAAAGGACUUUUUGGCGCAUCAGUCUCCUGACAAUCUUGCCCACAAUCAAUGCAGCUAUAGGGUUUCCAUUGCAUGAUGCAUCAGAUGUCUUCUGCUCCAUUUUGGUGGUGGACUGAGCUCACAUGACACUUUAUAUUGGUAUCUAAUUUCGUUUUAGGUAUUAUUCUUUUGGUGUUUCCCAAUGAUUAAAAGAAUGCAUAGUGAUGCUUUUAUAGGACCUGCAAGGUAUGUGUAUAUGUAAAUUGCAACCACAGGUUUUAAGCUAUAGUUGUGAUUUAAUAGUCAUGUGAUUUUUUGGGUGGUGUUUA
Molecule: long non-coding RNA, 530 nt
Organism: Ipomoea nil (Japanese morning glory)
Lineage: Eukaryota; Viridiplantae; Streptophyta; Magnoliopsida; Solanales; Convolvulaceae
Exons: 2
Source: RefSeq, a predicted model, not a curated record